GGCUCAAGAGAACAAGUCAUGUCAGAGCUGCUCUGUUGUGGUACAAGUCCCAGCUGAACCUACGGACUCAUUGUCUGCAGGUGAUGAGAGCUGGCUGAGAUUCAUCUAAAAUGUGAUUCCUGCAGUGCAACCUCAGUUUUCAGAUGAGCCUAGGUUUCUGUAGCUGAUCCCUGCCCGUUGAUGUACACGGUUGAGUGAAAGAACUGGGUGCAGAACGUUUGCAGCAACUCUACAGUGGUGAACUUGUGUGCUCAGCAUGAUGGUAAAACAAGUGGAGCGUCGUGUGAAGAGUUCGCUUGAGGAUUGACCUGUCUGCCUCAGUCAAUUAGCCGGGAAGGCAGCGCUCGCUCCUCAGCAGAUGACGUCACAUUCCUAAUGUUUGCGCAUCAAGAUGUUUUAACAGUCGUUUUAAAGAGUCUGUGAGAUGCAUAUCAUAUAAAGGCAAGAAGAAAAUAUCUUAACAUUUAAGAAAUUUGGUAGAAUGCACACGUUUUUUUUUUUUUUUUUUUUUGUCACAAGCGAGGCAUAUUUUGACGAGGCCUUCUGUUGCAGGUCGAAACUGGACUGACUUAUCACAGCAUGUCAGUCAGGCUUCCUCACUGUUGCUAAAUCUCGUUUAAAAACACUUGUUCCACGGCUUUCAAUCCAGUGUGAGAUAAUUUUAACUUCACUGUUUGUUUUAGUCUCUUAGUUAUCGUUGCCUCUGAAUUUUAUGUAUUCUGUCCUUUGUUUUGUUGUGCAGCACUUUGGUUGGCCUCACUGCUGUUUUAAAGUGCUUUUUAAAUAAAGUUGUAUGGCAUUUAUCUUGUUGAACUUGUUGCAUCCAAAGUAAAAUUGGAAGUACAAUAAUGUCAGUGGAAGUUGAUGGUCUUGUUUAAAAAAAAAGGGG
Molecule: long non-coding RNA, 889 nt
Organism: Nematolebias whitei (Rio pearlfish)
Lineage: Eukaryota; Metazoa; Chordata; Actinopteri; Cyprinodontiformes; Rivulidae
Exons: 6
Source: RefSeq, a predicted model, not a curated record